GGAGUUAGCCGGUGCUUCUUCUGUGAGUGAUGUCCUUCCUGCCGGCUAUUAACCCGCAGGCCUUCUUCCUCACUGAAAGUGCUUUACAACCCGAAGGCCUUCUUCACACACGCGGCAUGGCUGGAUCAGGGUUGCCCCCAUUGUCCAAUAUUCCCCACUGCUGCCUCCCGUAGGAGUCUGGGCCGUGUCUCAGUCCCAGUGUGGCUGAUCAUCCUCUCAGACCAGCUACGGAUCGUCGCCUUGGUGAGCCGUUACCUCACCAACCAGCUAAUCCGACAUAGGCUCAUCCGAUAGCGCGAGGCCCGAAGGUCCCCCGCUUUCCCCCGUAGGGCGUAUGCGGUAUUAGCCUGGGUUUCCCCAGGUUAUCCCCCACUACCGGGCAGAUUCCUAUGCAUUACUCACCCGUCCGCCGCUCGCCACCAGGGAGCAAGCUCCCCGUGCUGCCGCUCGACUUGCAUGUGUUAGGCCUGCCGCCAGCGUUCAAUCUGACACANANAUAACUCACNAGNGGCGGUGUCGACGACGGCGACUAG
This 533-nucleotide ribosomal RNA is filed under the name uncultured bacterium. RNAcentral's name for it is "partial 16S ribosomal RNA". The record is from RNAcentral.